GCAGGGCGCAGUGGCGAGUGCCUAUAGUCCCAGCUAAUCAGGAGGCUGAGGUGGGAGGAUCACUUGAGUCCAGGAGUUCUGGGCUGUAGUGUGCUGUGCUAAUCGGGUGUCUGCACUAAGUUCAGCAUCAAUAUGGUGACCUCCUGGAAGAGGGGCACCACCAGGUUGCCUAAGGAGGAGUGAACCAGCCCAGGUCAGGAACGGAGCAGGUCAAAACUCCUGUGCUGAUCAGUAAUGGGAUCAUGCCUUGGUGAACAGCCACUGCACUCCAGCCUGGGCAACAUAGCAAGACCCUGUCUCUG
Unclassified non-coding RNA from Callithrix jacchus (white-tufted-ear marmoset), 302 nucleotides. It matches the Rfam family "Metazoan signal recognition particle RNA". From Rfam's summary of the family: The signal recognition particle (SRP) is a universally conserved ribonucleoprotein. The record is from Ensembl. Lineage: Eukaryota; Metazoa; Chordata; Mammalia; Primates; Cebidae.